UUGACCUCAAAUCAGGUAGGACUACCCGCUGAACUUAAGCAUAUCAAUAAGCGGAGGAAAAGAAACUACCAAGGAUUCCCCUAGUAACUGCGAGUGAAGCGGGAAAAGCUCAAAUUUGAAAUCUGGCGGUUCCCUGGACCCGUCCGAGUUGUAAUCUAGAGAAGUGCUUACCUGUGCUGGACCGUGUAAAAGUCUCCUGGAAUGGAGCAUCACAGAGGGUGAGAAUCCCGUCUUUGACACGGACUGCCUGUGCGAUAUGGUGCGCUCUCGAAGAGUCGAGUUGUUUGGGAAUGCAGCUCAAAAUGGGUGGUAAAUGCCAUCUAAAGCUAAAUAUUGGCGAGAGACCGAUAGCGAACAAGUACCGUGAGGGAAAGAUGAAAAGAACUUUGGAAAGAGAGUUAAACAGUACGUGAAAUUGCUGAAAGGGAAACGCUUGAAGUCAGUCGCGUCGGCUGGAAAUCAGUCUUGCUUCUGCUUGACGUACUUUCUGGUCUGACGGGUCAGCAUCAGUUUUGACCUCCGGACAAAGUCAUUGGGAAUGUGGCAUCUCAGGAUGUGUUAUAGCCCGUUGUCGCAUGCGGUGGUCGGGAUUGAGGAGCUCAGCACGCCCGCGAGGGCCGGGUCUCUAAG
Molecule: ribosomal RNA, 630 nt
Filed under: Inocybe abjecta
Lineage: Eukaryota; Fungi; Basidiomycota; Agaricomycetes; Agaricales; Inocybaceae
Description: eukaryotic LSU rRNA
Rfam family: Eukaryotic large subunit ribosomal RNA
Source: RNAcentral